UUGCUUUGGCAGCAUGUAUACUAAAAUUGAAAUGAUACAGAGAAGAUUAGCAUGGCCCCUGAACAAGGAUGACAUGCAAAUUUGUGAAGCAUUCCAUAUUUUU
RNAcentral lists this small nuclear RNA (103 nucleotides) under Delphinapterus leucas (beluga whale). The record is from RNAcentral. Lineage: Eukaryota; Metazoa; Chordata; Mammalia; Artiodactyla; Monodontidae.